This 468-nucleotide ribosomal RNA is filed under the name uncultured bacterium. RNAcentral describes it as "partial 16S ribosomal RNA". It matches the Rfam family "Bacterial small subunit ribosomal RNA", at positions 28 to 507 of the family's 1533-position model. The record is from RNAcentral.
GACGAACGCUGGCGGCGUGCUUAACACAUGCAAGUCGAACGGAAAGGCCCUGCUUGUGGGGGGUGCUCGAGGGGCGAACGGGUGAGAAACACGUGAGUAACCUGCCCUUGACUUUGGGAUAACUUCAGGAAACUGGGGCUAAUACCGGAUAGGAGCUCCUGCUGCGGGGGGGGGGUUGGAAAGUUGCGGCGGUGGGGGAUGGACUCGCGGCUUAUCAGCUUGUUGGUGGGGUGGUGGCUUACCAAGGCUUUGACGGGUAGCCGGCCUGAGAGGGUGACCGGCCACAUUGGGACUGAGAUACGGCCCAGACUCCUACGGGAGGCAGCAGUGGGGAAUAUUGCACAAUGGGCGGAAGCCUGAUGCAGCAACGCCGCGUGCGGGAUGACGGCCUUCGGGUUGUAAACCGCUUUCGGCUGUGACGAAGCGUGAGUGACGGUACUGAGUAAAGAAGCACCGGCUAACUACGUG